RNAcentral lists this ribosomal RNA (402 nucleotides) under uncultured bacterium. RNAcentral's name for it is "bacterial SSU rRNA". It matches the Rfam family "Bacterial small subunit ribosomal RNA", at positions 355 to 748 of the family's 1533-position model. The record is from RNAcentral.
UGGGGAAUCUUGCGCAAUGGGCGAAAGCCUGACGCAGCGACGCCGCGUGAGGGAAGAAGGUCUUCGGAUCGUAAACCUCUGUCGGAGGGGAAGAAACUACAGUGUGCUAAUACCACAUUGUAUUGACGGUACCCUCUGAGGAAGCAUCGGCUAACUACGUGCCAGCAGCCGCGGUAAUACGUAGGAUGCAAGCGUUGCUCGGAAUUAUUGGGUGUAAAGGGCGCGUAGGCGGCUUGGUCAGUCACGGGUGAAAGCCCCCGGCUUAACUGGGGAAUUGCCCGUGAUACUGCCAAGCUAGAGUACGGGAGAGGGAAGUGGAAUUCCUGGUGUAGCGGUGAAAUGCGUAGAUAUCAGGAGGAACACCGGUGGCGAAGGCGGCUUCCUGGACCGAUACUGACGCUG